UAGGGAAUCUUCGGCAAUGGGGGGAACCCUGACCGAGCAACGCCGCGUGAGUGAAGAAGGUUUUCGGAUCGUAAAGCUCUGUUGUUAAGGAAGAACGAGUGUGAGAAUGGAAAGUUCAUACUGUGACGGUACUUAACCAGAAAGGGACGGCUAACUACGUGCCAGCAGCCGCGGUAAUACGUAGGUCCCGAGCGUUGUCCGGAUUUAUUGGGCGUAAAGCGGGCGCAGGCGGUUAGAUAAGUCUGAAGUUAAAGGCAGUGGCUCAACCAUUGUAGGCUUUGGAAACUGUUUAACUUGAGUGCAGAAGAGGAGAGUGGAAUUCCAUGUGUAGCGGUGAAAUGCGUAGAUAUAUGGAGGAACACCGGUGGCGAAAGCGGCUCUCUGGUCUGUAACUGACGCGGAGGCUCGAAAGCGUGGGGAGCGAACAGG
Molecule: ribosomal RNA, 429 nt
Filed under: Bacteroidota bacterium
Lineage: Bacteria; Pseudomonadati; Bacteroidota
Description: Bacteroidetes bacterium partial 16S ribosomal RNA
Rfam family: Bacterial small subunit ribosomal RNA
Source: RNAcentral